UACACUUGUGCUGGCAACUCUCUGCCC
RNAcentral lists this non-coding RNA (27 nucleotides) under Mus musculus (house mouse). The record is from RNAcentral. Lineage: Eukaryota; Metazoa; Chordata; Mammalia; Rodentia; Muridae.